UCGGAUUGCAGGCUGCAACCCGCCUGUAUGAAGUUGGAAUCGCUAGUAAUCGCGGAUCAGCAUGCCGCGGUGAAUACGUUCCCGGGCCUUGUACACACCGCCCGUCACACCAUGAGAGUCGGGAACACCCGAAGUCCGUAGUCUAACUUUUACGAGAGGACGCGGCCGAAGGUGGGUUCGAUAAUUGGGGUGAAGUCGUAACAAGGUAUC
RNAcentral lists this ribosomal RNA (210 nucleotides) under uncultured bacterium. RNAcentral describes it as "partial 16S ribosomal RNA". It matches the Rfam family "Bacterial small subunit ribosomal RNA", at positions 1293 to 1500 of the family's 1533-position model. The record is from RNAcentral.